RNAcentral lists this ribosomal RNA (476 nucleotides) under uncultured bacterium. RNAcentral's name for it is "bacterial SSU rRNA". It matches the Rfam family "Bacterial small subunit ribosomal RNA", at positions 335 to 801 of the family's 1533-position model. The record is from RNAcentral.
ACUCCUACGGGAGGCAGCAGUGGGGAAUAUUGGACAAUGGGCGAAAGCCUGAUCCAGCCAUGCCGCGUGUGUGAAGAAGGCCUUUUGGUUGUAAAGCACUUUAAGCGAGGAGGAGGCUACUUAGAUUAAUACUCUAGGAUAGUGGACGUUACUCGCAGAAUAAGCACCGGCUAACUCUGUGCCAGCAGCCGCGGUAAUACAGAGGGGUGCGAGCGUUAAUCGGAUUUACUGGGGCGUAAAGCGUGCGUAGGCGGCUUCUUAAGUCGGAUGUGAAAUCCCUGAGCUUAACUUAGGAAUUGCAUUCGAUACUGGGAAGCUAGAGUAUGGGAGAGGAUGGUAGAAUUCCAGGUGUAGCGGUGAAAUGCGUAGAGAUCUGGAGGAAUACCGAUGGCGAAGGCAGCCAUCUGGCCUAAUACUGACGCUGAGGUACGAAAGCAUGGGGAGCAAACAGGAUUAGAUACCCUGGUAGGAUAGCG